RNAcentral lists this ribosomal RNA (116 nucleotides) under Candidatus Woesearchaeota archaeon. Lineage: Archaea; Nanobdellati; Candidatus Woesearchaeota. The record is from RNAcentral.
UCGAACGGCCAUAAGGGCGUGGUUCUACCUGAUCCCAUUCGAACUCAGAAGUCAAGAACGCCACUGUUCCAUGUUGUACUGUACUUUCGUACGGGAACCAUGGAAAGCUGUUCACC